UAACGUGUGGGCAACCUGCCCUGUACUGGGGAAUAAUCAUUGGAAACGAUGACUAAUACCGCAUGUGGUCCUCGGAAGGCAUCUUCUGAGGAAGAAAGGAUUUAUUCGGUACAGGAUGGGCCCGCAUCUGAUUAGCUAGUUGGUGAGAUAACAGCCCACCAAGGCGACGAUCAGUAGCCGGACUGGGAGGUUGAACGGCCACAUUGGGACUGAGACACGGCCCAG
Molecule: ribosomal RNA, 225 nt
Filed under: uncultured bacterium
Lineage: Bacteria
Description: partial 16S ribosomal RNA
Rfam family: Bacterial small subunit ribosomal RNA
Source: RNAcentral